GAGCACUUUAAAGGCAUUUGAAGAAAAAGACAUCUCACACAAAGGAGUUGCAUCCGCAGACACACGCCAAAGUUUAAUCUCUUUUUCAGAAGCGGUCUUUUCCGAAACCGGAGAUCACCGAUCUCUUUUACGGCUGGAAAGGCGUAGCCUCCAACGCAGUGGGCACCAGUAAUUAUCAUGCAAUAAAGAAACGAAGCAAAAGUGCAUUUUUAUUUCAAGUGUACACAUCACAAAAAAGGGUUUUGUCUUUCGUUGAACCUUAAGUAGGCGCAGUUUUGCACUUUUUGCACGGCACUCUCGUAAGCAGUUCGAAAAUAUCACGUGACGCUAACAGACGAUGCAAAUUCGCGCCAUUUUCUGCGACCAUGGCUACGGCGAGCGGUACCGACGAACAGCCUCCGGCACGCCAAAGAAAACCGCGGGUACAGUGGUCGGAGAGAGACACCUGGGCGUUAAUCAAGUUAUGGGAAGACAACCUGCCCUCGCUGCGUGCGCAGAAGCACAACGGAGGCGUUUACGAUGGCAUUGCACAAGCAUUGACGAGCAUGGGUGUACCUCGCACAAAGGCGCAAGUGCACAGCAAGAUAGAGAACCUGGGACAGACCUACAGGUAAGACAAAGCACAGCAGUAAGCUGUGAGCGCUAAAUUUACCUUGAAGCGGCUUCAGGCUGUGGUCGCAAGCUGCAAGCUCUCGUUUGUGGUGUCGCGACCUCAGCAUCGAACGUUGUUUCCGUAGUAGGCAGCGACGGAACCCUAAUCUAGCGGACGGAGCCGUAGUAACGAAGGUUUUAAGGCAGAGACCCUUCAUUUCAGCUAGCGUCGAAUUUUGCAGGGCUGAACUGCGCCCUGCACACACGAAAGUCGACGACGCGCUAAAGGCUGUUUCUGCAAUUCCUUUACAGUGCGAGUCGGUCUGAGUAAACGCAAAUUCGCCUUCACAUGCGGCGAAGAAUGACAACCCGCGCAGGUCGUCAAUAGCAUGAUUUCGUUCGUCACAAGAUAACGGGAACCUUAACUUAUGGACAGGCGCAUUUCACAUUAUAUUGUACGCCUUCUCACGGCAACAUAUAAUACGAAGCAGGAAGUCGUCUGCAUGUUUUCAUUUCUGCAGAUGUGACUACGGUUUGCAUUUUUCUCGGACCAUGCGCAAGCGUUGUUCUCAGACAAGAAAACAUGAGAAACUUUAAAUUUUUUCGAGUAAAAAGGGUUACCUUCGCUUCUCAGGCUUUCUGUACCAUCAAGUCGCGUUUGUAUCUAUCGGCAAACGUUUUGCUCUGUGUAUAUCUUUACAUUUUGAGUAUAUAAAAUUUUAGUUCUUUCGUUUUCUUAUCCAGGAGCUGCCUGAAACACAUGACAACAGGGUCAUCACCGCCGAGCUGGCCAUUCUUCUCCGAAGUCCAUAGGUUUCUAGGAUCCCUGCCUGUUCACGAUACAUCUUUAAUGGAAGAGGCUGGGUGCAGCGAGAGCACAACAAGCAGCACUGCCUCCGUCGAAGAACUGAUCUUCGACAUGCUUGAUUCCGGCUCUGCUUCUUGUGAAGACGUCGCCGAAGAUUGUUCACCUUCCGAGUCGCCAGUACAACAGGUUGAAUCCAGGAACCUCGCAAGUGGCAGUUCCGAAUGUGCCCGCAGGAAGAGAAGGCAACCGGCUGGCGACUUUCAAGAAAGGAUGCUUGAGGAGCAGCGACGGCAGAGAGAGCAGUUUGCUGAUGCGCACAAAAUGGAAAUGGAUCUCCGUAAAGAGGGGCUCAAGUUGCAAGAGAAACUUGUAGAUGCAAUGUUGAAGUUUUUUAGUAAAAACUGACAUGGUGUUCCACAA
Molecule: long non-coding RNA, 1819 nt
Filed under: Dermacentor andersoni
Lineage: Eukaryota; Metazoa; Arthropoda; Arachnida; Ixodida; Ixodidae
Description: uncharacterized LOC126527277
Source: RNAcentral